GACGAACGCUGGCGGCGUGCUUAACACAUGCAAGUGGAGCGACGAACCAGGCUUCGGCCUGGGGCAAAGCCGCGAACGGGUGAGUAACACGUGGGUAACCUGCCCCGAUGACUGGGACAACCCGAGGAAACUCGGGCUAAUACCGGAUGUACUUACAUCACACAAGUGAUGCAAGCAAAGAUAGCUUCGGCCUUCGCAUCGGGAGUGGGCCCGGCCGG
Molecule: ribosomal RNA, 218 nt
Filed under: uncultured bacterium
Lineage: Bacteria
Description: partial 16S ribosomal RNA
Rfam family: Bacterial small subunit ribosomal RNA
Source: RNAcentral